Molecule: unclassified non-coding RNA, 228 nt
Filed under: Hevea brasiliensis (rubber tree)
Lineage: Eukaryota; Viridiplantae; Streptophyta; Magnoliopsida; Malpighiales; Euphorbiaceae
Source: RNAcentral
AUGCGACGAUCCACUUGGUAAAUUUGAUUAAACACUCCAAUGUCUUUGUUGCCUUAGCAUCUUGACUUUUUUGGUUUAGUCUGAUAAUUUGCAUUAUAAAAGUUUGAUCAUGACUUUCCCAUCUCUUAUCCCAUACCCUUUGGAAUAGUAAAAAAAGGAAAUCAAUAAGCUUCCUCUAGGUAAUUCUUUAUAAUUAAUUCCUGCAGUACUAUCAACUACGGGAAUGAA